UAAGCGGAGGAAAAGAAACUAACAAGGAUCCCCUCAGUAAGGGCGACUGAAGCGGGGAAAGUGCAAGUUGUCAAUCUCUUCGGAGAAUUGUAGUCUAUCGAAACAACAUCCGGUGUCGCAGCAGGUAUAAGUCCAUUGGAACAUGGCAUCAGAGAGGGUGAGAAUCCCGUUCGUGAUCUGCUGCGUGCCGUCCAUGAUGUGUUCUCUACGAGUCGGGU
Molecule: ribosomal RNA, 218 nt
Filed under: Stephanopyxis turris
Lineage: Eukaryota; Bacillariophyta; Melosirophyceae; Stephanopyxales; Stephanopyxidaceae
Description: partial Eukaryotic large subunit ribosomal RNA
Rfam family: Eukaryotic large subunit ribosomal RNA
Source: RNAcentral